Molecule: ribosomal RNA, 265 nt
Filed under: uncultured bacterium
Lineage: Bacteria
Description: partial 16S ribosomal RNA
Rfam family: Bacterial small subunit ribosomal RNA
Source: RNAcentral
GUCCUAGCUGUAAACGAUGGAUACUUGCUGUGGGGGGUGUUAAAUCCCCCUGUGGCGGAGCUAACGCGUUAAGUAUCCCGCCUGGGGAGUACGGUCGCAAGUCUGAAACUCAAAGGAAUUGACGGGGGCCCGCACAAGCGGUGGAGCAUGUGGUUAAAUUCGACGCAACGCGAAGAACCUUACCUGGGCUUGAACUGGAGUGGAAGCAGGCAGAGACGUCUGUGUCCUUUUCGGGACUGCUCUAGAGGUGCUGCAUGGCUGUCGU